Molecule: antisense RNA, 75 nt
Filed under: Streptomyces regalis
Lineage: Bacteria; Bacillati; Actinomycetota; Actinomycetes; Kitasatosporales; Streptomycetaceae
Description: ASpks TB sRNA
Rfam family: ASpks TB sRNA
Source: Rfam by way of RNAcentral
CUUCAACGAGCCCAGCAGCAGCGGUUGUUCGGCCGGCCGGUCCUGCCCGUACACCGCGAUCAGGGCCUCGGCCUC